GACGAACGCUGGCGGCGUACUUAACACAUGCAAGUCGAACGAAGUGGCGAACGGGUGAGUAACGCGUAAUCAACCUGCCCUUCAGAGGGGGACAACAGUUGGAAACGACUGCUAAUACCGCAUACUGAAGGAGGGGAUUGAGUCUGAUGAGCUAGUUGGAGGGGUAACGGGCCAACAAGGCGAUGAUCAGUAGCCGGGAUGGUAGGAUGAACGGCCACAUUGGGACUGAGACACGGCCCAGAAUCCUACGGGAGGGAGCAGUGGGGAAUCUUCCGCAAUGGACGAAAGUCUGACGGAGCAACGCCGCGUGAGUGAUGACGGCCUUCGGGUUGUAAAGCUCUGUUAAUCGGGACGCGGUACCGGAAUAGAAAGCCACGGCUAACUACGUGCCAGCAGCCGCGGUAAUAC
RNAcentral lists this ribosomal RNA (408 nucleotides) under uncultured bacterium. Its description in RNAcentral is "partial 16S ribosomal RNA". It matches the Rfam family "Bacterial small subunit ribosomal RNA", at positions 28 to 526 of the family's 1533-position model. The record is from RNAcentral.